This is a long non-coding RNA of Oreochromis aureus, 597 nucleotides long. The record is from Ensembl. NCBI's taxonomy places the organism in Eukaryota, Metazoa, Chordata, Actinopteri, Cichliformes, Cichlidae.
GAAAGGCCAGUCCUGAAUACAAGACCCCAAUAAAAAGGAGGAGGGUCGCUGAGCAGGCUGGUACUUCCACCAGCCCAGAUGCACAUGUGGUCAAAGGUGUGAAGCGUAAAGCCCAGCAAGAUGGACAGGACACAAGCAAGCAAGGAAAGAGCUCUAAACUUCUUCACCAUAUGAGCAGUGACAAGGAGCCAGCGUCUUCCUCCUUGGACACUGAUAAAGACUGCAGCUUGAACAUUUCAGAGGGCUGCAGUAAAAACAUAAAGGUGUGCACGAGAAAUGGCGAAAGGAAGGCCGCGGGAGACAGCAAAGAGCCACCUAAGAAAAAGAAAAGGAACGUGGACCAGGACAAAACCACAAAUGGAGUUUGCAGUUGAUGCUGCAAAGUAGCUUGAGGACAAACACAUCUUUCACCGAGACAUCAAGGGCGAGAACAUUCUGAUUGAGACAAGCUGAGAUGUGCCUCUUGUUCGCACCAUCGACUUUGGACUGAGCUGUUUUGUUAAGGAGCGAUCGUAGUUAAAAAAUACAACCGUCUUCUAUGGUACAGCUGUUCACACCCCUCCCGAGUGGUACAGGCGCAAUUACUACAAGUCCAGA